Molecule: ribosomal RNA, 489 nt
Filed under: uncultured bacterium
Lineage: Bacteria
Description: bacterial SSU rRNA
Rfam family: Bacterial small subunit ribosomal RNA
Source: RNAcentral
GAUGAACGCUAGCGGGAGGCCUAAUACAUGCAAGUCGAGCGGUAAGUUUCUUCGGAAACCUAGAGCGGCGCACGGGUGAGUAACGCGUACAUGACCUGCCUUUAAGACCGGGAUAGCCCUGGGAAACUGGGAUUAAUACCGGAUGUGAUAAUAGAUAUAAAGAUUUAUUAUUAAAGUUACGGCGCUUAGAGAUGGAUGUGCGUCUGAUUAGCUAGUUGGUAGGGUAACGGCCUACCAAGGCUACGAUCAGUAGGGGGCGUGAGAGCGUGGCCCCCACACGGGUACUGAGACACGGACCCGACUCCUACGGGAGGCAGCAGUAAGGAAUAUUGGUCAAUGGACGAAAGUCUGAACCAGCCAUCCCGCGUGCAGGAUGAAGGUCCUAUGGAUUGUAAACUGCUUUUAGCAGAGAAGAAAAGCAUUCAUUUAUGAGUGUCUGACGGUAUCUGCGGAAUAAGCACCGGCUAACUCCGUGCCAGCAGCCGCGGU